RNAcentral lists this transfer RNA (64 nucleotides) under Acrocrypta assamensis. Its description in RNAcentral is "tRNA-Tyr". It matches the Rfam family "tRNA". Rfam says of the family: Transfer RNA (tRNA) molecules are approximately 80 nucleotides in length. Their secondary structure includes four short double-helical elements and three loops (D, anti-codon, and T loops). The record is from RNAcentral. Lineage: Eukaryota; Metazoa; Arthropoda; Insecta; Coleoptera; Chrysomelidae.
GGUAAAGUGGCUGAAGUUUAGGCAAUAAAUUGUAAAUUUAUUUAUGAAUAAUUUUCUUUUACCA